Molecule: ribosomal RNA, 478 nt
Filed under: uncultured bacterium
Lineage: Bacteria
Description: partial 16S ribosomal RNA
Rfam family: Bacterial small subunit ribosomal RNA
Source: RNAcentral
GACGAACGCUGGCGGCGUGCUUAACACAUGCAAGUCGAACGGAAAGGCCCUUCGGGGUACUCGAGUGGCGAACGGGUGAGUAACACGUGGGUGAUCUGCCCUGCACUUUGGGAUAAGCCUGGGAAACUGGGUCUAAUACCGAAUAGGACCACGCGCUUCAUGGUGUGUGGUGGAAAGCUUUUGCGGUGUGGGAUGGGCCCGCGGCCUAUCAGCUUGUUGGUGGGGUAAUGGCCUACCAAGGCGACGACGGGUAGCCGGCCUGAGAGGGUGACCGGCCACACUGGGACUGAGAUACGGCCCAGACUCCUACGGGAGGCAGCAGUGGGGAAUAUUGCACAAUGGGCGCAAGCCUGAUGCAGCGACGCCGCGUGAGGGAUGACGGCCUUCGGGUUGUAAACCUCUUUCAAUAGGGACGAAGCGCAAGUGACGGUACCUAUAGAAGAAGCACCGGCCAACUACGUGCCAGCCGCCGCCGUAA